UACGUAGGUGGCAAGCGUUGUCCGGAAUUAUUGGGCGUAAAGCGCGCGCAGGCGGUCCUUUAAGUCUGAUGUUAAAGCCCACGGCUCAACCGUGGAGGGUCAUUGGAAACUGGGGGACUUGAGUACAGAAGAGAAGAGUGGAAUUCCACGUGUAGCGGUGAAAUGCGUAGAGAUGUGGAGGAACACCAGUGGCGAAGGCGACUCUUUGGUCUGUAACUGACGCUGAGGCGCGAAAGCGUGGGGAGCAAACAGG
This 253-nucleotide ribosomal RNA is filed under the name uncultured bacterium. RNAcentral's name for it is "partial 16S ribosomal RNA". It matches the Rfam family "Bacterial small subunit ribosomal RNA", at positions 524 to 776 of the family's 1533-position model. The record is from RNAcentral.